Molecule: long non-coding RNA, 295 nt
Filed under: Nicotiana benthamiana
Lineage: Eukaryota; Viridiplantae; Streptophyta; Magnoliopsida; Solanales; Solanaceae
Description: long non-coding RNA (NBEN_LNC029079)
Source: RNAcentral
UUAUCAUAGAUGGGUGUUGUACGAAGGAUAAAAGGCUGGGAUGAGGAACUCAGAUGGGAAACAGAACAUGUGAAAGGUAAAGGUUCAAAACCCAUGAUUUACAGAAUGAGUAUUACAGGUGCAGUAUGCCAACUAUCGAUGGAAAGGUAUUUCAGCAAGAAAAGAGAUGCAAUAAAGACAUUACCAAGCAGAUAAUACAAGAAAUACAAUAUAUAGGUCAUAGGCAGAUUAGUUUAAGGAAAGAGCUGCAAAAGCUAAACUUUUACCCUUAGAAAUGUUGUUAGGGAGGAUGAAC